Molecule: ribosomal RNA, 890 nt
Filed under: Bolbitius bisporus
Lineage: Eukaryota; Fungi; Basidiomycota; Agaricomycetes; Agaricales; Bolbitiaceae
Description: eukaryotic LSU rRNA
Rfam family: Eukaryotic large subunit ribosomal RNA
Source: RNAcentral
AGAAACUAACAAGGAUUCCCCUAGUAACUGCGAGUGAAGCGGGAAAAGCUCAAAUUUAAAAUCUGGCAGUCUUUGGCUGUCCGAGUUGUAAACUAGAGAAGUGUUAUCCGCGCUGGACCGUGUAAAAGUCUCCUGGAAUGGAGCAUCAUAGAGGGUGAGAAUCCCGUCUUUGACAUGGACUACCAGUGCUUUGUGAUGCGCUCUCAAAGAGUCGAGUUGUUUGGGAAUGCAGCUCAAAAUGGGUGGUAAAUUCCAUCUAAAGCUAAAUAUUGGCGAGAGACCGAUAGCGAACAAGUACCGUGAGGGAAAGAUGAAAAGAACUUUGGAAAGAGAGUUAAACAGUACGUGAAAUUGCUGAAAGGGAAACGCUUGAAGUCAGUCGCGUUGGCCAGGAAUCAACCUUGCUUUUGCUGGGCGUACUUUCUGGUUGAUGGGUCAGCAUCAAUUUUGACUGUUGGAAAAAGUUCAAGGGAAUGUGGCAUCUUCGGAUGUGUUAUAGCCCUCGUUCGCAUACAGCAGUUGGGAUUGAGGAACUCAGCACGCCGCAAGGCCGGGUUUCGACCACGUUCGUGCUUAGGAUGCUGGCAUAAUGGCUUUAAUCGACCCGUCUUGAAACACGGACCAAGGAGUCUAACAUGCCUGCGAGUGUUUGGGUGGAAAACCCAAGCGCGCAAUGAAAGUGAAAGUUGAGAUCCCUGUCGUGGGGAGCAUUGACGCCCGGACCAGACCUUUUGUGACGGAUCCGCGGUAGAGCAUGCAUGUUGGGACCCGAAAGAUGGUGAACUAUGCCUGAAUAGGGUGAAGCCAGAGGAAACUCUGGUGGAGGCUCGUAGCGAUUCUGACGUGCAAAUCGAUCGUCAAAUUUGGGUAUAGGGGCGAAAGACUAAUCG